This 67-nucleotide transfer RNA is filed under the name Pseudotetracha mendacia. RNAcentral describes it as "tRNA-His". The record is from RNAcentral. Lineage: Eukaryota; Metazoa; Arthropoda; Insecta; Coleoptera; Carabidae.
AUUUAAGUAGUUUAAUUGAAAACUUUGAUUUGUGGUGUCAAAUAUGUAAAUAUAUUUACCUUAAAUU